Molecule: ribosomal RNA, 468 nt
Filed under: uncultured bacterium
Lineage: Bacteria
Description: partial 16S ribosomal RNA
Rfam family: Bacterial small subunit ribosomal RNA (bases 20-332)
Source: RNAcentral
GACGAACGCUGGCGGCGUGCUUAACACAUGCAAGUCGAACGGAAAGGCCCUGCUUUUGUGGGGUGCUCGAGUGGCGAACGGGUGAGUAACACGUGAGUAACCUGCCCUUGACUUUGGGAUAACUUCAGGAAACUGGGGCUAAUACCGGAUAGGAGCUCCUGCUGCAUGGUGGGGGUUGGAAAGUUUCGGCGGUUGGGGAUGGACUCGCGGCUUAUCAGCUUGUUGGUGGGGUAGUGGCUUACCAAGGCUUUGACGGGUAGCCGGCCUGAGAGGGUGACCGGCAAAAUGGGGAAGGAAAAACGGCCAGAACUCCAAGGGGGGGAAGAGGGGGGAAAAAUGGAAAAAGGGGGGGAAGCCGAAGGAAGCAAGGCGGGGGGGGGGAGAAGGGCUGUGGGGUGGAAAACGGGUUUCGCCGGGGAAGAAGGGUGAGGGAGGGAAAGGGGAAAAGAAGAACCGGAAAAAAAGGGC